This 264-nucleotide ribosomal RNA is filed under the name uncultured bacterium. Its description in RNAcentral is "partial 16S ribosomal RNA". It matches the Rfam family "Bacterial small subunit ribosomal RNA", at positions 793 to 1055 of the family's 1533-position model. The record is from RNAcentral.
GUCCACACCGUAAACGUUGGGCGCUAGGUGUGGGACUCAUUCCACGAGUUCCGUGCCGCAGCUAACGCAUUAAGCGCCCCGCCUGGGGAGUACGGCCGCAAGGCUAAAACUCAAAGGAAUUGACGGGGGCCCGCACAAGCGGCGGAGCAUGCGGAUUAAUUCGAUGCAACGCGAAGAACCUUACCUAGGUUUGACAUAUACGAGAACGCUCUAGAGAUAGAGCACUCUUUGGACACUCGUAUACAGGUGGUGCAUGGCUGUCGU